RNAcentral lists this transfer RNA (87 nucleotides) under Acidobacteriota bacterium. RNAcentral describes it as "Acidobacteria bacterium tRNA-Leu". It matches the Rfam family "tRNA". Rfam says of the family: Transfer RNA (tRNA) molecules are approximately 80 nucleotides in length. Their secondary structure includes four short double-helical elements and three loops (D, anti-codon, and T loops). The record is from RNAcentral. Lineage: Bacteria; Pseudomonadati; Acidobacteriota.
GCCCGGGUGGCGGAAUCGGUAGACGCAGCGGACUUAAAAUCCGCGACUCGAAAGGGUGUGUGAGUUCAAGUCUCACCCCGGGCACAA